This is a long non-coding RNA of Felis catus (domestic cat), 16335 nucleotides long. RefSeq lists it as uncharacterized. The transcript has 7 exons. The record is from RefSeq and is a predicted model, not a curated record. NCBI's taxonomy places the organism in Eukaryota, Metazoa, Chordata, Mammalia, Carnivora, Felidae.
CUCUCUCUCUCUCUCUCUCAAAAAAUAAAACUAAAAGCAACCAAGAAAAAACAGAGUCCUUACGAAUGCUAAUAACCAUCAGUUUCUACUUUGCACACUUUGGAAAAAAUGUGUGCUUAAUCCCGUAGGAAUUGAGAAGUUGAUCCUGUCUAGGCAGUUGUGGUGGAGCCUCACCACUGUAGAAACCAUAGGAUUUUCCCAGGUAUCCAGUCAAGUAAUGUUAGUCUCUGCUGACCAUAGUGUUGACCUUGAAUUAGUGCAAGUGCGCCAGUGGAGGUGAGGUGUUGCCUAAUGAUGGAAGGGAACAUGUUCAUGUUCAAGUGAGGAAGAUGUGCCCAACAUUGGUGUUAAUGUGUUUCUCUUUUGAAAACUUUAUGAGUAUCAGAUUAAAAUCUUUGCUAGUGUGCACGUAUGACGUGAUGUGGUAUUAAAUGAUUAAAGACCUUUGUUUUACAGUUUUAUUUUUCAGUAAUUUCUACCCCCAGCAUGGAGCUCGAGUUCACAACUCUAAGAUCAAGAGUCCCGUGCUCAACCGACUGAGCCAGGCAGGUGUCCCUGAAGACACUUCUAUAUUGAGAUAUAUACAUGAUUUAUGAUCUCAAGUGUCUUAUGUUUAUUUCGAUUUGGGCAUGUAUUCAGUUAAGACUUUAAAUGGUCCCUAAUGAUAUUCAUGGUAAUAGGAUUUUUUUGUAUUCCUGUUUAAAAAUAUGUACUUAACAUACUAGUGGUAGACGGAUUUGCAGAUAUCCAGCAAAUUUAACAUAUUGUCCUGCAGUACUUUAUUGACUAUGGAAUCAUUAUAAGUAAUGUGAAGAGAGGAAGGUGUGUCUUCCUAAGGAUUGACCUUGGAGUUCUCCAAGUAUCCGUGUAGUGUCGAUGGGUCCUGAAAUGAUACAGGGGCCAAGGGAUUUGCAGGUGUAGACUUAGAAUGAGACAUACACCAGAAAUAUUUUCUCCACUGGUAUUUUUUGUGUUUUUUUUUUUUUUGAGACUGGUGUCAAUGAAUCACAGUGACCCCGGCAAUGAUAGGUAACAGAGACACUGCUGAUGUCACAGUAGAGAUGAUGUAGGCCUAAGCCACAGCACUGACCAUCUGCUCUUCAGAAAGCUAGGUAUUCCGGCAGGAAAUGACAGAUUCCUUACUACUCGACACCAUGAGUUUUCAGCGUUUAGACAAAAUUCUUGUUUAACUCUGAAUGAUGUGGGAUUGCACGUAUCAGGUGUUUGUUGUUAUGUCUCAACCACGGUAGUGAUCAUGGAAACUUUGCAGGUGCUCUGUAGAAGUUGUAUUCCUUGAAAGUGAUCUUGACCUUGGAGUACUACAGCUAUUCAAGCAGAGGUAAUGCUUUCAUAAUGAUGGAAAUGACUGAGCUCAUGUAUAGGUGCCCUGCUAGAACAAGCUGUGUCCUUUCACCCAUGUAUCAUACUGUGUUUUCCAGGUUUCCUGUCGAGAUCAUGAUGAACGUCCCGCUAGUGAUUCUCUGGGGACAUUUCUGUUCCCCAGACAAGUGAUGAUGUUCACCUCCACUGUUUCAAAUGAUCUGAUCUUCUCAUAUCGAUAUAUGUGUGAUUGAUGGCCUAAACUUCCUUACCGUGUGUGUGUGUGUGUGUGUGUGUGUUUAUGCGUGUAUGUGUGUGUGUGUGUGUGUGUGCACGUGUGUGUUUUCGAUAAUCAGGUAAGAAAUGACAGCAUUUUGCCAAUUACUGCUCUCGUGCAAUUUUAGUGUUUCCUAUUUCAGAGAAAGACUAUGUUUACUUCUGUGAGUGAUAGGUGAAUUCUGACGUGAAUAGCCAUAAUCAUGGAGUUGUGUGAUGGGGUAGUACCCUUGGUAUUGUGCAGGUGAGCAGGAGAGUGGUGAAGGUGUGGCUCUCUUUGGCAUAGACCUUGAAGGACUGCAGCAAUGCGGGAAGAGCGGAAGGGUCCUGCAGUGAGGGCAAUGAACAAGAUGAUGUGCCGUGGCCUAGUAGAAGAGGAGUGUCCAUAGACGCAUCGUUCGCAAAGUGGUUUUUAAAUUACCAUCGAGAGGUCAUGGUAAAUUUCAAGAUGGUCAUUGAUUAGACUUUGCAUCUGUUCAAGUAAGUGGUGAUAUGGGCCUUAAGCACCCUACAAAUGGAUUUUCAGAUAUUUAGGCAAGGGUAGGUGGUGUUCCUAACUGUUCUGUUACCAUGUGUCUAUGCAGGUGUUCGGUUCAGAAAUGAUAAUGUUCCAACCAGUGCUAGUAAGUAUGAGCCCUUAUUUCUGUUUUUAAAUUGAGAUCUAAUGUGUAUUUAACUUCAGUGGUGAUAACGGAAUAUGCAUUUCCAGGGGACUUUUAGCCAGCAAUAGUGACCAUGAGAUUUCUAGAAGUACUGCUAGAAGAGAUGUUAGUGUGUCUAACAAUGGUGUUGACAUUCAAGUUGGGCAAAAUCCAUAUCGUGUUAUGUUUUCCCUAAUGAUGGAAGUGACCCAGAUUAUUGGGAAAAAAGGCUAUUUAUUUAUUUAAUUUUGUUUAUUUUUAUUUUUUGGCAGGCAAACAAGUUGUAUCCUGCCACAGGCUUGUUGAGUGUUUGUGUCAAGAUUCUAGCAGUCCUGACAUCACAGUGACCCAGACCGUCGUCAUCAAUGGGAACUUGCUGGUAACCAGGUAUGUGAUAAAGUGGGUUAUCAUAAUAGACAUAUCUGAUGCUCAACUCUCCAGGUGAGUGAGGUUAGUGUUUCUAGCACAGUGUACCGUGCUUUUUUGAACGUUUCCUAUUGACUUCUUUGCUAGUUCUUUACCGAUUCGAGAUGAUGUAAGUGUAAGUCAUUAGGUACAUUCGCUUUGUAUUGGAGACACAGUUUGUUUGACCCUGUGAGCAUUGAGGGAUAACACAUAUGGAAGUAUUUACGACCGUGUCUUCCCCACAGUCCUCCCCAUGGGCUUUCUGCUGGUGGCCAGUGAAGUGACACUGAGUUUGUCUGACAUCAGUGUUGAUCCUUGAUUACUGAAAGUACCAGGUGGAGUUUGUGUGCCUAUCAUCACGGAGUACCCAGGCUAUUUCCAGAUACUGGCUAACACAAGUCGUUUCCUUUCACGUAGAUUUCAUAAUGUCUUGACAGAAACCUGAAAAGACAUCACUGUACGCCUGACAUGGAAGGAGAUGGCAGACAUGGCUGAUAUGUCCGCAGGUAGGUGAGGAUGUGGGUCUCAACCCCGGCACAGGCCGUCUGAUCUCCAGAUAGCUAGGUAAGUGACGAUGGUGUCUCUUAGCGUUGGGACCCUGAUUUCUUUGCAGGUAUUCAGGUAUGAUUUGAUAGUCCUUACUGAUCCUAGAAACCAUGAGUGUUUACCGGUUAUGUUUUAGAAAAGACUUUUGCUUAGCCUUGUGAGUGUUGGGAGAUUGCCAUAUCCAUGGAAUUAACAUAUACCCUCAACCACAGCCAUAACCGUGAAAAUGUUGCAGGUGUCCUGUGAAGACAUAUUAUCCUAACUGGUGAUGAUUUUGACCUUGGAGGAUGCCAAGCAUUCAGAUAGAGCUGAUGGGUCUCAUGAGGAGAAAGCGACCAAGGUUAUUGCAGGUGUCCUGGUAGAACAAAUUGUGUCCCUUUACACAUGUGUUGUAUUGUGUUUUUUAGGUGCCCGUCAACGAGUUCAAUGCACCUGACAAGGGUCAUCAAGGCGGGGACAUUUCUGGCCUUCAGGUAUAUGAUGAGGUGUACCUGCACUGUAUCAGACCCUCUGAUGUUCGUGAAUCUCUUUGUGCUAAGUUUUGUUAAUUGCUUGAACUUGUUUACCAUGUGGGUUAUGUGAAGCAUUCUGGGAGAAAUGAUAGUAUUGUUACCAAGUCUAGCAAACAUAUUAUCCCAACAUUUGAUGCUUUAGAGGAAAUUACAUUUAACCAUGUGAAUAUUUAGUGAUUCAUGGCUAUUCACGUAACAAUCAUGGAGUUGCGGGUCACAGGCGUUACCAUGGUAUUUUGGUAGGUGAGCGAUGAAGGCAUAAUGGCGUCUGACAGUGGCCUAGACCUCGGCGUACUGCAAGACCCCAGGUGGGUUUGAUGGGUCCUACAGUGAUGGAAGCAUACACAGAUACUUCCCAUGUCCUAGUAGAGGGGGUCAUUCAUGGACCCGUUUAUCAUACGUGGUUUUCACUCGAUCUUAGCCAAGACGCUGAGGAGUGAUGUCACAAUGUGUUUUUCCCGGUCCUGUCCAGAAAUCACAGUGAGCCUCAUACUGACCAGACCUAGGACUGUGCCUUUCCAGGUGAGUAAUCACGCGGGCCUUCACCCUGGAAACAACCUAGCCAUCUGGUAAGUGGAUAAGUGUGGAUGGAUUUCCCAAGUUGUUGUUAGUAUGCUUUUGUCUUUGUUUUCUUUUUUUUGACAGGUAUUUGGGUAAGGAAUGACACGCUCCCCACAAAUGGUAGGAUGCAUGCUAGUGAGUAUUUUAAAGUUUAGAUAGAAUGUGUGUUUAGCCCUAGUGGUGACAGAGGGAUACACAGGUGUGCAAUUCCCACGGCCACAGCACAGUAUGAGCCUGAAAUUUUAUAGGUACUCAGGUGAUAAUGGUUUCUCUAACAAUGGAGUUGACCUUGAAGCUCUAGUUCCGCCAAGGUCCAAAGUGUUGAUGAUUCCUCUAAUGAUGGAAAUAUCUUACAUGUCAGUUGUGUUUUUUCAGGUUAUGGUAGUCCGUCAUGUUACAGUGACCCUGGUUAUGCUCUUUCAUGGGACCCUGCUAGUAACCUGGUAAGUGGUAUUGUGGAUGUGACACUAUAGUUGAGAUCAGCUGUUCUUAAGAAUUCUAGGUAGGUGAGGAUGGCGUCCCAAACACUGACCACAGCGUUGAUAUGUUUUCUUUUCCGAAGAAAUCAUGUUAAAGUCUUUGCUGUUGCAUGGGAAUCAGAUGAUGUCCCAUUAUCACAUUAACUCAUUAGAACACCAUUUUUUCAGGUAUGUAUCUAAUUAAUGAUUUGAAUACUCUUACAUUACCCAUGGUUCUGGCUUGUAUGCAGUGAAAUUAAUUUCUCCGUAACAAUAUUUGGAAUACAGACUAUUUUGAUAUAUCCUUCUUUCAACUUUUAUUUAUUUUUGGGACAGAGAGAGACAGAGCAUGAACGGGGGAGGGGCAGAGAGAGAGGGAGACACAGAAUCGGAAACAGGCUCCAGGCUCUGAGCCAUCAGCCCAGAGCCUGACGCGGGGCUCGAACUCCCGGACCGCGAGAUCGUGACCUGGCUGAAGUCGGACGCUUAACUGACUGUGCCACCCAGGCGCCCCUCGAUAUAUCCUUCUUGAGGGAAUGUGUUUUUCAACUCUAUUUGAAAAAAGAAUAGGCAGGUAUCCAGGUGAUCUAUGUUACUGUCCAUCUUCACAGUAUUGAACAUGGGUAUAGGUAUCUCUGUGAGAGAAGAAGGUAUUUCUUACCAGAAUUUAGUCUUGUACUUCCACAAGUAUCCAGCUUGUGGUGAUCAAUCUCAAAAUGGUGCCCUUGACCAAUGGAAUCUGCAGGAGAUCAGGUAGAAUCAGGCAUAUACUGAACAUAUUCCUGAUUGAUAGGCUCCCCAUAUUGAAUGAGGCAUACAGAAGUAUCUAGGUAAGUGAUGGUGUGGUCCUAACCACAGCACAGACCAUCCGAUCCUAAUAUGUAGGUUAGUGAUUGUGCCCUUAACACUUUUGUUACUAUGAUUUGGUUGCUGGUAUUCAGGUAAGAAAUGAUGGAGUCUCUACCAAGUCCAGUGACCAUGACUCUACACUUGCUACAUUUUGUACACAACUUAUACUUAAUCGGUGAGUGUUGACAUUCAAAUGUAUCUAUUGUUGUCAAGGAGUUUCCAUGAGAGUAGUCAACACCGUAUUGUUGUAUGCAUGUUGCAUACAACAUGAUGGUCUCUCUGACCAAAGUGUUGACCCAAAUUAAUGGAAGCAUCAAAGUAGAGUUGAUGUGUUCCAUAAUAAUGGAAGUGAAAAGGAUUAUUAGCAGGUGUUGUGGUGGAACAAGUUGUGUGCUUAAACAUAUUUUUCCUAUGUGUUUCUUCAGAUUCUUGUCAAGAAAACCCAGUGAACCUCACAGUAUUCACUGAUGGAAGCUUGCUCUUAACCUGGUAUCCCGUUAAGGCUUUUGCUGUGUUAUACAGACGAAGUCAAGCCCUCACCCUGAGCUUCCUAAUGAUAACUUAACAUGGGACAUUGUCGUUAUCAAGGUAUGUGACGAUGUGGGCCUAAACCAUUGCACAGAUCAUCUGAUCUUCAUAGACAGAGGUAAGAGGUGACGGGUAUCCCUUACAUUUCUUGUCAGCAUCCUUCCUACAAGUAUUCACUUAAUAAAGGAUAGAUUCCAGCAGGCCCUGGGUGGCUCCGUUGGUGAAGUGUCGACAUUGACACAGGUCAUGAUCUGAUGGUUCAUGGGUUCAAGCCCCAGUCAGGCUCUGUGCUGACAGCUCAGGGCCUAGACCUGCUUCAGAUUUUGUGUCUCCCUCUCUCUGCCCCUUCUCCACUCAUGCUCUGUCUCUUUCUGUCUCUCUUUCAAAAAAAAAAGAAAAAGAAAAAAAGGAUAGAUUCCAAACCACAUCUGGGAACCAUUGUUUUGCACACUGUAUAUCGAAGAGAAAACUUACGUUUACCCCUGUGAGUGUUGAGGGAUCAUGGGUAUCCAAACAAGUGUCAGGAUGUUCUGUUGCCAGUAAGUAACCAUAGGAUUUUUAUAAGGGUCCUGUUAUUAAAUUGUGAUAUUAUCUGACAAUGGUGUUGACCUUAAUCAUAGAGUGUCCAUGGUUAUUUCCAGAUGUUAUGGUUUAAAAAAAAAAGUUGUAUCCCUUAGUAACAUACUUCACAAAAUGUUUUUCAGGUUCUUGUCAAGACGCCAUGGUGAGCCAGAAGUCAUUAACGAGGGGACAUCUCUGGUAUGCAGGUUCCGCUCAUGAGAUCAUAGUGAACCUCUUCAUGUUCAUUACCACAGACUUUGCAUGGAUCACAGGAAGUCAUGGUAUGAGCCAUAGGCACCUUAAAGAUCAGGUGAUCUUCAGAUACUGAGGCAAAUGAGGAUGCUGUUCCUAACCUUUCUCUGAGUAUUUUUGAUAGGUAUUCAGGUAAGAAACUGUCUCGUUCCUACUGAUGCUAGUAAGCAGUCGCCUUUGGUAGUUGAGAGUUUAGAUGUCGUGCAUGUUUAUACGUAGAAGGGACUGAGGGAUAAACAGGUGUCCACGUUAUCCCACUAUUCGAUACCAAACGCUACGGACCAAGAGAUUUGUCCAGAAGAAACGAUGGUGUGUCUAACAGUGUCAACUUUGAAUUCUACCAAGGUCGAGGUAGUGUUGAAGCUUCCCCAUUAACGGAGGUGACCAAGAUUAAUAGCAGGAGUCAUGGCAGCACACGUUGUUUUCUUUCUUUCUGUUUUUUAUUUGUUUUUUGUUUUUAUUGGUUUGUUGUUGUUGUUGUUGAACAGGUUGUGUUCUGAAACACAAUUGUUGCGUCUGUUUUCUCAGGUUCCAGGCAAGAGUUCACAGCAAAUGGAGCAAUGGUCAUUUGGGGGACGUUGUUAGAAAGCAGGUAAGUGAUAAAGGAGGUGUUACUACGAUGUGGACUCUGUUCUUCAGUAUCUGGGUAAGGAUGUGUCCCCCACACAUGUGUCUGUUUUAUUUGCAGGUGUUCUGUUAAGUUCUUUGCUACUAGAGGCAUGAUGUGAUGGGACAUACGCUCACAAGAGACUUGUUGUUGCUUUCAGCCCUCUAGGUAAUCAAUAAGAUUUCCAAAACUCUUCGAAAAACCUGGUUUGGGGGCACGUAUACCGCUAAGAAAUUGAUGAGUCUUGAGCAAUUCUUGUUAGCCUGAGGAUUAACUGUCUUCUGAUUCAGAGAGAAUGUAUUUUGUAUACUUGUAGUGGUAACAGAUAGAGAAGUAACCAUGGAAUGUUUGCAGGUGUCCCUUUAAGGGAAGGUAUCUCUUACCAGGGUUACACAUUAGAUUUCUGCAGUUAUUCAGGUGAACCUGAUGAGUUACGAAAUGAUGGGACCGUCCAAGGGAAUUUUGUGGGCGUCCAGGCGGAAUGGGAUGUGUACCGAACACUUUGCACAGCGUGUUUUUCAGGUUCCUGUUAAGACCAGGCCUGUCAGUGGCAGUUAAAGAGGCACAUCGCAGGUAACGAGGUAAGUGAUUUGGACCCAAACCACAAGCACAGACCAUGUGAUCGUCGCACCUCUAGGUGAGUGAUGCUUAUGUCCUUAAUACGUCUUUUCACCGUGACAUAUUGCAGGUGUCCAGGUAAGAAAUGGCAGAGUCCGGGGGCGCCUGGGUGGCUCAGUCUUUUAGGCAUCCCUUCUUGAUCUCAGUUCAGGUCCUGAUCUCCCGAUGCAUGAGAUCAACUCCGCAUCGGGCUCGGGGCUGACAACACAGAGCCUGCUUGGGAUUCUCACUUUCCUUUUCUCCCUUUCUCCCUUUCUCCCUUUCUCCCUUUCUCUCUCUCUCUCUCUCUCUCUCUCUCUCUCUCUCUCUCCUCACUCACUCAAAAUAAAUACACUUAGAAAAAUAAGAAACGACAGAGUCCCUAGCAUUUCUAAUAGCCAUGGGUUUCUAUUUUUCACAUUUCAGAAAAAAUUUAUGGUCAAUCCUGUAGGUAUUGAGAAAUUGAUCCUGCCUAGGCAAUUGUGGUGGAGUCUCACCACUGUAGAAACCAUAGGAUUUUUCCAGGUAUCCAGUCAAGUAAUGUUAGUCUCUCCUGACAACAGUGUUGAUCUUGAAUUAGUGCAAGUGCGCCAGUGGAGUUGAGGUGUUGCCUAACAAUGGAAGGGAACAAGUUCAGGUGCAGGAGUCUUGAGAGACCACCUUGUGUCUGAAACACAUUUCAGUUUGUUUCCUCAGGUGGCUGUGAAGGAAACAGAGUGAACGGAAAAUGGUUCACACACCCUUGCUGCUAAGCAGGUAAGUGUUAAAGUGAGUCCUUCUAUAAUGAAGUCCUCUGAACUUCAUUAUCUAGGUAAGUGAGGGUGAUGUCCCUAACAUGGGCGGUAAUGUGUUUUGUUUUUUUUAAUUUUUGUGGGUAUCAGGUUAAGAUCUCUGCUAGUAUGGAGGUAUGAGAUGAUGUGAUAUUAACUGGUUAAAGACCUGUGUUUUACGGUUUUAUUUUUAAGUAAUCUGUACGCCCAGCCUGGGGCUCGAAGUCACAACUCCAAGAGGAAGGGUCGCCUGAUCCACCGACUGAGCUGGGCAGGUACCCCUAAGGUCAUUUCUGUAUUCAGAGAUCUACAUAAAUUGAUGAUUUCAAGUCUCUUCUGUUUACCUUGUUUUGGGCACGUAUUGAGGUAAGAGUUUAAUUUGUCCCGAAUGCUAAGGGUAGCAUACAAUUUUUUUGUAUUCCUGUUUAGAAAGAGGUAACUACCAUACUCGGGGUAGAUUUGCAGGUAUCCAGGUGAUUUAUCAUAUUGUCCUUCAGUACUUGAUUGACUAUGGAAUUAUUGCAAUAUACCUUGAAGUGAGGAAGUGGUGUCUUCCUGGGGAUUCAUCCGGGGAGUUCUGCAAGUCUCUAUGCAGUUGGACGGGUCGUGAGAUGAUAGAGUGACCGAGGGAAUUUGUAGGUGUAGAGGUCGAAUGAGACCCAUGCAAAAAUAUUUUCUACAGUGUUUUUGCUCAGACUCGUAUGGAUACAUUACAAUUAGCCUAUCAGUGGUAGCUAACAUGAGACAUUGCUGAUGUCACAAUACUGAUGACGUGGGCCUAAGCCACAGCACAGACAGACCACCUGAUCUGCAGAUAGCUAGGUAAGUGCUGGUGGGGUCCCUAACACUUGCCGUUACCUUGAUUUUCUGUAGGUAUCCGGUAGGAAGUGACAGUUUCCUUACUAAUGCUUGAAACCAUGAGUUUUCGGUGUUUAGAGAAAAUUCUUCUUUAAUUCUAAUGAGGGAUUGCACACAUCAGGUGUUUGUCAUUAUGUCUCAACCACAGGAGUGAUGGUGGAAAUUUUGCAGGUGCUCCGUAAAAGUUGUAUUACCUGACAAAGGUCUUGACCUUGGAGUCCUACAGCUAUUCAAGCAGAGGUUUCCUGUCAAGAGAUUAUGGUGAACUUCAGACUGGUGACCCUCUGGGGACAUGAUGUUCUCCUUCACCAUUUCAAACCAUCUGAUCUUCUCAUAUCUAGGUGCGUGUUAUUGAUGGACUAAACUCGCUUGCCAUGUCUUCUGGUUUUUUCCAGAUAAUCAGGUAAGAAAUGACAGUGUUUUACCAAUUACAGCAAUCAUGCUAUUCUAGUGUUCUCUACUUCAGAGAAAAUUUAUGUUCACUUAUUUGAGAGUGAGGUGAAUUUGGAUGUGAAUAGCCAUAAUCACGGAAUUGUGUGCUACGGGAAUACCCUUGGUGUUACUGAAGGUGAGCAGGGAACGGGUGAAGGUGUGUCUAUGGUUGGCAUAGACCUUGAAGGACUGUACCAAUCCAGGAAGAGUUGAUGGGUCCAGCAGUGAGGGCAAUGAACAAGAUGAUGUGCCGUGUCCUAGUAGAAGAGGAGUGUCCGUAGAUGCAUUGUUCACAAAGUGUUUUUUCAAUUACCAUCGAGUGGUCAUGGUAAAUUUCAAGAUGGUCGUUGAUGGGACUUUGCUUCUAUUCAGGUACGUGAUGGUAGGGGCUUAAGCACCCAGUACGUUGAUUUUCAGAUAUGUAGGUGAGGGCAGAUGGUGUUCCUAACUGUUCUGUUACCAUGUGUCUAUGCAGGUAUUCAGUUCAGACCUGAUACUGUCCCAACCAGUGCUGGUAAGUAUGAGCCCUUAGGUAUUUAUUCGUUAAAAUUUAGAUCUAAUGUGUAUUUAAUCUCGGUAGUGGUAAAGGGAUGUGUAGGUCCAGAGAACUUCUCCUCUUGCGCAACAAGCAUUGACCAUGAGAUUUCUACAAGUGCUGCUAGAAGGAGAUGUUAGUGUGUCUAACAGUGGUCGGCCAAGACCCGUGUUGUGUUAUGCUUCCCCCAAGUGACCAAGGUUAUUUGCAAAUAUACUGUUUUUUUGCAGGUAAACAAGUUGUAUCCUGCCACAGGCUUGUUGAGUAUUUGUCUCAAGAUUCUAGCGGUCCUGACAUCACAGUGACCCAGACCGUCGUCAUCAAUGGGAACUUGCUGGUAACCAGGUAUGUGAUAAAGUGUGUUAUCCCAAUACACGUAUCUGAUCCUCAGCUCUCGAGGUGAGUGAGGUUAGUGUCUCUAGCCCAGUGUACCGUGCUUUUUUGAAAGUUUCCGAUUGACUUCGUGGCUAGUCCUUUACCGAUUCGAGAUGAUGUGAUAGUAAGUCAUUAGGUCCAUUCACUUUGUAUUGGAGACAAAAUUUGUUUGACCCUGUGAGCGUUGAGGGGUAACACAUAUGCAACUAUUUACGACCGUGUCUUCCCCACAGUCCUCCCCAUGGGCUUUCUGCUGGUGUCCAGUGAAGUGACGCUGAGUUUGUCUGACAUCAGUGUUGAUCCUUGAUUACUGAAAGUACCAGGUGGAGUUUGUGUGCCUAUCAUGACGGAGUACCCAGGCUAUUUCCAGAUACUGGCUAACACAAGUCAUUUCCUCUAACGUAGAUUUCAUAAUGUCUUGACAGAUACCUGAAAAGACAUCACUGUACACCUGACAUGGAAGGAGAUGGCAGACGUGGCUGGUAUGUCCGCAGGUAGGUGAGGAUGUGGGUCUCAACCCCGGCACAGGCCGUCUGAUCUCCAGAUAGCUAGGUAAGUGACGAUGGUGUCUCUUAGCGUUGGGACCCUGAUUUCUUUGCAGGCAUUCGGGUACGAUUUGAUAGUCCUUACUGAUUCUAGAAACCAUGAGUGUUUACCGGUUAUAUUUUAGAAAAGACUUUUGCUUAGCCUUGUGAGAGUUGGGGGAUUGUCAUGUCCGUGUAAUUAACAUAUGCCCUCAACCACAGCCAUAACCGUGAAAAUGUUGCAGGUGUCCUGCGAAGACAUAUUGUCCUAACUGGUGAUGAUUUUGACCUUGGAGGAUGCCAAGCAUUCAGAUAGAGCUGAUGGGUCUCAUGAGGAGAAAGCGACCAAGGUUAUUGCAGGUGUCCUGGUAGAACAAAUUGUGUCCCUUUACACAUGUGUUGUAUUGUGUUUUUUAGGUGUCCGUCAACGAGUUCAGUGCACCUGACAAGGGUCAUCAAGGCGGGGACAUUUCUGGCCUUCAGGUAUAUGAUGAGGUGUACCUUCACUGUAUCAGACCCUCUGAUCUUCAGGAAUCUAUUUGUGCUAAGUUUGUUAAUUGCUUGAACUUGUUUACCAUGUGGGUUAUGUGAAGCAUUCUGGGAGAAAUGAUAGUAUUGUUACCAAGUCUAGCAAUGUAUUAUCCCACCAUUUGAUGCUUUAGAGGAAAUUACAUUUAACCAUGUGAAUAUUUAGUGAUUCAUGGCUAUUCACGUAACAAUCAUGGAGUUGUGGGUCACACGCGUUACCAUGGUAUUUUGGUAGGUGAGCCAUGAAGACAUAAUGGCGUCUGACAGUGGCCUAGACCUUGGCGUACUGCAAGACCCCAAGUAGGUUUGAUGGGUCCUACAGUGAUGGAAGCGUACACAGAUACUUCCCAUGUCCUGCUAGAGGGGGUUAUACAUGGACCCGUUUAUCAUACGUGGUUUUCACUCGAUCUUAGCCAAGACGCUGAGGAGUGAUGUCACAAUGUGUUUUUCCCGGUCCUGUCGAGAAAUCACAGUGAGCCUCAUAAUGACCAGACCUAGGACUGUGCCUUUCCAGGUGAGUGAUCACGCAGGCCUUCACCCUGGAAACAACCUAGCCAUCUGAUAAGUGGAUAAGUGUGGUUGGAUUUUCCAAGUUGUUGUUAGUAAGCUUUUGUCUUCGUUUUUGUUUUGACAUGUAUUGGGUUAAGAAAUGAUACGGUCCCAACAAAUGGUAGGAUGCAUGUUAGUAAGUAAUUUAAAGUUUAUUUGUUUUUUUUAAAGUUUAGAUAGAAUGUGUGUUUAGCCCUAGUGGUGACAGAGGGAUACACAGGUGUGCAAGUCCGUUCUCCUACCAGCACAGUCAUGAGCCUGAAAUCGUAGGGGUACUCAGGAGAUGAUGGUUUCUCUAACAGUGGAGUUGACCUUGAAGUUCUAGUUGCACCAAGGUCCAAAGUGUUGAUGAUUCCUCUAAUGAUGGAAAUAUCUUACAUGUCAGUUGUGUUUUUUCAGGUUAUGGUAGUCCGUCAUGUUACAGUGACCCUGGUUAUGCUCUUUCAUGGGACCCUGCUAGUCACCUGGUAAGUGGUAUUGUGGAUGUGACAGUGUAGUUGAGAUCACCUGUUCUUGAGAAGUCUAGGUAACUGAGGAGGGUGUCCCAAACACUAACCACAGCGUUAACAUGUUCUCUCUGCUCAUAUCUUGUUAAAGUCUUUAUGUUGCACACGUAUGAGAUGAUGUCACAUUAACUCAUUAGACCUCCCUAUUUUCAGAUGUGUUUGUAAUUAAUGAUGUUUUGAAUGCUCUUACAUUACACAUGCUUUUGGCUUAUAUGCAGUAGUUUAAUUUGUAAACACCGUAUUCUUGCAGGAGCCCUGAUAAAACAUGAUGGUCUCUCUGAUAAAAGUGUCGACCCAAAUUAAAGGAAUCAUCAAAGAAGAGUUGAUGUGUUCCAUAAUAAUGGAAGUAAAAAGGAAUAUUAGCAGGUGUUCUGGUAGAACAGUUUGUACUUCAACAGACUUUUCUUAUGUGUUUGUUUUUAGGUUCUUGUCAAGAAAACCCAGUGAACCUCACCGUAUUCACUGAUGGAAGCUUGCUCUUAACCUGGUAUCCCAUUAAGGCCUUCGCUACUAUGCAGGUAUGAGAUGAUGUGCCAUUGACUUAGACAUUAUUUGCAGAGCUCUGUGUGACUAACGAUAUUAUUCAGGCUCUUACAUAACUUAGCGUUAGGCAUGUAGGCAGUUAAGACAUCCAGUUGUCCCUAACAAUCAUAGUAUGCGUGAGAAUUUGUUCGUUUAGAGAGAAUGUGUUUUGGACUGAUAGGGAAUCGUUUAGAGAGAAUUUGUUUCAGACAUCGAGGGAAUUCAUCAUACUGUUCAUUGCUUUGUUGCUAACAAUGGGAAUUUUCUAGGUAUUCUUCAAGAGAAGAAGGUGGCUCCUACUGUGGGCUGACCUCAGAGUUUUGCAAGUAUUCAGGUAUGGUUGAUGGUGUUGAAAUGAUACAAAUGACCAAGGGCAUUUGGAGGUCUAGAGGUAGAAUGAUUCAUGAACCAAAGACAUUUUUCACAGUGCCUUUUUCAGAUUCAUGUCAAGACCUCACCGCAAGCUUACCAAUGAUAACCUGGGACAUUGCUGUUACCAACGUAAGUGAUGUGGGCCUAAACCAUAGCACAGAUCAUCUGAUCUUCACAUACAGAGGUUAAGAGGUGAUGAGUAUCUCUAAUGCUUCUUGUUAACACGCUUCUUACAAGGAUUCAAUUAAUGAAGGACAGAUUCCAACCAAUUCUGGGAACCAUUGUUUCUCAUACUUUAUAUUGAAGCGAAAAAUUAUGUUUACCUCUGUGAGUGUUGAGGGAUUGUGUGUAUCCAAACAAUUGUCGUGAUGUUCUGUCCUAAUAAGUAACCAUGGGAUUGUUAUAAGUGUCCCGUUGUUAAAUGAUAGUGUUCUCUGAAAGUGGUGUUGACCUUGAAUUAAUCCAAGGAUCCAGGUAGAUUUAGAGAGCUUCAGCUUAAAAAAAACAAAGCUCUAUCCCUUAAUACAUACUUCACAAAAUGUUUUUAGGUUCUUGUCAAGAUACCAUGAUGAACCGAAAGUCAUUAACAGGGGGGACAUCUCUGGUAUGCAGGUAAGUGAGGACAGGCACAUCACAGACCCUCUGAUCUUUGUCUAUCUGGGUGAAUGAUGCUGGAUUGUCAAAACCUGUUUCACCAUGUGAGUUCCUAGCACAUGUUCAGGUAAGCAUGCAAUAUAAUAUGUUGCCACUUGUAACAAUCAUGUUAUCCUGCUGUCCUGUUGCACAGAAAAUGAAUGUGUAACUAUGUGAGUAUGGAGUUAUGUGCAUUUAUGCAGGUAAUUGCCCUGGAAUUCUGCCUCACCAUUGUAACCAUGGUAUUUUAGAGAUGUGUAGUCAGGAGAUAAUGAGGGUAAAUGUGGCUAGCCCUUGAAUAUUGCAAACAUCCAGUGAAGUUGACGGAUCCGGCCAUGAUGGAAGUGAAGGAGGUUAUUUGUAGGUUAUUUGUCCAUUUGGAAUAUAUGUGUCCGUAGAUAAACAAUUUUGCCAAUGUGUUUUUCAGGUUCCACUCAUGAGAUCAUAGUGAACCUCCUCCUCUUCAUUACCAGAGACUUUGCAUGGAUCACAGGAAGUCAUGGUAUGAGCCAUAGGCAGCUUAAAGAUCAGGUGAUCUUCAGAUACUGAGGCAAAUGAGGAUGCUGUUCCUAACCUUUGUCUUACUAUUUUUGAUAGGUAUUCAGGUAAGAAACGAUCUCGUUCCUACUGAUGCUAGUAAGCAGUCGCCUUUGGUAGUUGAGAGUUUAGAUGUCAUGUAUGUUUAUACGUAGAAGGGACUGAGGGAUAAACAGGUGUCCACGUUAUCCCACUAUUCGAUACCAAACACUACGGACCAGGAGAUUUCUCCGGAAGAAACGAUGGUGUCUCUAACAGUGUCAACUUUGAAUUCUGCCAAGAUCGAGGUAGUGUGGAAGCUUCCCCAUUAACGGAGGUGACCAAGAUUAAUAGCAGAAGUUGUGGCAGCACACGUUUUCUUUCUUUCUUUCUUUAUUUAGAAAAAGGUUGUGUUCUUAAACACAAUCAUUGCACGUGUUUUCUCAGGUCCCAGGCACGAACUCACAGCAAGUGUAGAAACGGUCGUUAUUGGGACAAUGUUUGUAAGCAAGUGAGCGAGACUGUAGGUCUUUCUAUGAUGUAGACUAUCUCAUCUCCAGUGUCUAGGUUAGGAUGUGUCCCCAGCACAUGCGUUCUGCUUUUGUAUGUAUCCCAUUAAGGUCUUUGCUAAGAGAGGUAUGAUGUGAUCAGACAGACACUCACUACAGACUUUUUGUUCUUUUCGGACACCUAGGUAAUUAAGGUUCCCAAGGGCCUUCCAAAAAUGUCGUCUGGGGGCCCAUAGACAGUUAAGCAUUUGAUGUGAAGUGAGCAUUUCUGGUAAGCAUGAGUAUUCACUGUCUUCUUGUAGAGGUAAUGUAUUUUUAUACUCCUAGUGGUAAUAGAUACGCAGGUAACCAUGGAAAUUUUGCAGAUGUCCCUUUAAGAAUGGAAGGAACCCUUACUAGGGAGUAACCUCCAAUUUAGGCAGUUCUUCAGGUGAACUUGAUGAGUUACAAAAUGAUACACCUGGCCAAGAGAAUUUUUGGUGGGUGUCCAUGUAAUGUGUCCUAAACACUUCGCAUGUUUUUCAGGGUCCUCUUUUUUUUUUUCUUUUCAACGUUUUUUAUUUAUUUUUGAGACAGAGACAGAGCAUGAACGG